UACGAAGGGGGCGAGCGUUGUUCGGAUUUACUGGGCGUAAAGGGCGCGUAGGCGGCGGGUCAAGUCGAGUGUGAAAGCCCCGGGCUCAACCUGGGAAUGGCGCUUGAGACUGGCUGGCUGGAGUUCGGGAGAGGAGCGUGGAAUUCCCAGUGUAGAGGUGAAAUUCGUAGAUAUUGGGAAGAACACCGGUGGCGAAGGCGGCGCUCUGGACCGAUACUGACGCUGAGGCGCGAAAGCGUGGGGAGCAAACAGG
RNAcentral lists this ribosomal RNA (253 nucleotides) under uncultured bacterium. RNAcentral's name for it is "partial 16S ribosomal RNA". It matches the Rfam family "Bacterial small subunit ribosomal RNA", at positions 524 to 776 of the family's 1533-position model. The record is from RNAcentral.